AUCAACUUUCGAUGGUAGGAUAGAGGCCUACCAUGGUGGUAACGGGUAACGGGGUGUUAGGGCACGACACCGGAGAGGGAGCCUGAGAAACGGCUACCACAUCCAAGGAUGGCAGCAGGCGCGCAAAUUACCCAAUCCCGACACGGGGAGGUAGUGACAAUAAAUAACAAUACGGGGUUCUAUAGGAUUUCGUAAUUGGAAUGAGUACAAUUUAAAUCUCUUAACGAUCAACAAUUGGAGGGCAAGUCUGGUGCCAGCAGCCGCGGUAAUUCCAGCUCCAAUAGCGUAUAUUAAAGUUGUUGCAGUUAAAAAGCUCGUAGUUGAAUUUCGGGGUUAGUAGGUUGGUCAUGCCUCUGGUAUGUACUGAUCUCACUGAUUCCUCCCUCUUGACGAACUGUAAUGUCAUUAAUUUGGUGUUGCAGGAAAUCAGGACUGUUACUUUGAAAAAAUUAGAGUGUUUAAAGCAGGCUUAGGCUUGAAUACAUUAGCAUGGAAUAAUGAAAUAGGACGUUUGAACCUAUUUUGUUGGUUUCUAGGAUCGACGUAAUGAUUAAUAGGGAUAGUUGGGGGCAUUAGUAUUCAAUUGUCAGAGGUGAAAUUCUUGGAUUUAUUGAAGACUAACUACUGCGAAAGCAUUUGCCAAGGAUGUUUUCAUUAAUCAAGAACGAAAGUUAGGGGAUCGAAGACGAUCAGAUACCGUCGUAGUCUUAACCAUAAACUAUGCCGACUAGGGAUCGGAUGAUAAUUUUUUAAUGACUCAUUCGGCGCCUUACGGGAAACCAAAGUGUUUGGGUU
This 795-nucleotide ribosomal RNA is filed under the name Glomeromycotina sp. RNAcentral's name for it is "SSU rRNA". It matches the Rfam family "Eukaryotic small subunit ribosomal RNA", at positions 314 to 1113 of the family's 1831-position model. The record is from RNAcentral. Lineage: Eukaryota; Fungi; Glomeromycota.